GGGUCCAUGGCACACUAUUGCUCGUAAAGGCGAUGACGAUGCAGGAAGCCGGUGCAAAGCCGGCGCGGUCCCGCCACUGUAAUCGGGGAGCGACCCUCGUAGGCCACGGCCCAAUCAGUUGAACGGGCUGGAAGGCGAGGCAAGCGGCGAUCCGAGAGCCAGGAGACUCGCGUCAUCGUGUCCUGCCAA
Molecule: non-coding RNA, 189 nt
Filed under: Mycobacterium haemophilum
Lineage: Bacteria; Bacillati; Actinomycetota; Actinomycetes; Mycobacteriales; Mycobacteriaceae
Source: RNAcentral